Molecule: transfer RNA, 88 nt
Filed under: Astyanax mexicanus (Mexican tetra)
Lineage: Eukaryota; Metazoa; Chordata; Actinopteri; Characiformes; Acestrorhamphidae
Rfam family: tRNA
About the family: Transfer RNA (tRNA) molecules are approximately 80 nucleotides in length.
Source: Rfam by way of RNAcentral
CCUUCGAUAGCUCAGUUGUAGAGCGGAGGGACUGAGGGUGUUAAAAUUGUCAUCCUUAGGCUCGCUGGUUCAAAUCCGGCUCGAAGGA